This 570-nucleotide ribosomal RNA is filed under the name Tuber californicum. Its description in RNAcentral is "eukaryotic LSU rRNA". The stretch from base 173 to 326 matches the Rfam family "5.8S ribosomal RNA". Lineage: Eukaryota; Fungi; Ascomycota; Pezizomycetes; Pezizales; Tuberaceae. The record is from RNAcentral.
CACUUCUAUGUGUACUCUCCCAUGUUGCUUCCCCAGACCAGUGGCCACUGCUGCCAGUCCGGCCUCUUAACGGGUUUCUGGUCUGAGAUGUCUGGGGAAGGUCCAUUAUUAAACUUUUAAACCAAUUGCCAGUCUGAGAAGGCCAUGUGCCGUAAUCUUUAAAACAUAUUAAAACUUUCAACAACGGAUCUCUUGGCUCUCGCAUCGAUGAAGAACGCAGCGAAAUGCGAUAAGUAAUGUGAAUUGCAGAAUUCAGUGAAUCAUCGAAUCUUUGAACGCACAUUGCGCCCUUUGGUAUUCCUUAGGGCAUACCUGUUCGAGCGUCACUAAAAACCAUCUCAUAUAGAAUGUGGUAUUGGUAGAAGUGGGUAGUAUUAAUAGUACUUUGUCUUACUCUACUGAAAUGCAUAGGCCAGAAAAGUGGACCAUGGUAACAGACUCUCAGAGUGUUUUAAAAUGCUAAAUUAGUCUUACCACAGUUGAUAUCUGAGCUACCGGAUCCCCAUUUAGUCCAAACCAGAGAGGUUGACCUCGGAUCAGGUAGGGAUACCCGCUGAACUUAAGCAUAUC